UGGGGUGUGGCUCAGUGGUAGAGUACUUGUCUAACAUGUGCAAGACCUUGGGUUUGAUCCCAAUAUAGCAA
RNAcentral lists this transfer RNA (71 nucleotides) under Marmota monax (woodchuck). RNAcentral's name for it is "tRNA.Val". Lineage: Eukaryota; Metazoa; Chordata; Mammalia; Rodentia; Sciuridae. The record is from RNAcentral.